UUUUUUUUUUUUUUUGCACAUUUACAUGGGUUGAAGGUAAAUUUUGUUAUAUUUACCAUUAGUUUUAAGUUUUGCUAUUUUCUUAAUAAUAAUUUUAACCUUGUUUUGGUGCAUAUGCCAGAACCCCUUAAAUUAAUCUAUUUUUAAAAUAGAUUUUUAUUUAAGUUUGAUCCAAUUUAUUUUUUAAAAUAUAGAAUGACCAUUGCAUUUUUUUAUUGGCCAAUUUCCAUGUCUUUAAUUAAUAUUAAUUUGAGUUCAUCUAAAAUUUUAAUAAGUCUCAAAUUAAUAGGGUGAGAAUUUGUGAUUAAUUGAAAAUUUCUUAGACGACAAAAAAAAAAAAGAUUGGCCAUUUAUUUUAAGUAUAUAAAUGGCGAUGCAAAUUAAUAUAUACACGUUCAAUAAAAAAUAUAAAGAGAGGAAUUUUCAAAAAUAACAAAUUUUACAAAAUAUUUACAACUUAUAGUAAAUUCUAUAACUAAUAGUCAUUGAUAUGCUAUUGUGAUAGAAGACUAUCGUUGAUAUAAUUCAAAAUUUUGUUUUAACUUGUUAAUAUUUUAAUUUAUUUUUAUAUUUUUAGAAAUGCUCCAAAUAUAAAAAGAGAACUAUGUAAAGAAAUGUCACAAAGUUAGAAAUUAUCUUUUAGGAUGCCUCCAAAAUUUUAAGGAUGCUCUUCGUCCGUGCAUUAUAGAAUGUUCGAAAAUCUGUAGUUGUUGCAUUUUUAUUGGAAAAAAUGUAAAGAAGUAUUAAAUUUUUUUAAAAAAAUUGCAUUUGGUUUUGAGUUAAAAAAGAAGAGGAAAUAAGUAUUAAAUUUAAAAAAUGGUUGGUGUUGAAAUAAGUAUUAAAAUAAAUAAAAUAUUAUAUAUAUAAAAAAUAAGAAAAUUUGUCGAUAAUAGAAAAUUUGACAAAAUAUUUACAUUUUUUUAUGGAAAAUAAGGCUUAAUAAAUUUUAGAAUUUUUUUUAGUGAUUUUUUCUUUGGAGUAACUAGUUUGUUUUUAGUUCUAUUUGUAAAAUAACUCUAUAAAAUAAUAUAAAUAAAAAUUAAGAAAAUAAAACAUAAAAAAUCUCACAAACUCCCCAUUCUUCUAUUUAUUUGAAAAAAAUUUCAACUUGUAUCUUACUAAACUCAAUAAAUAUCACUACUUAUAGACAAUUUGACAAACUCGAUUAUAUUGACUACUACGAGUUUGAUAUCUUCAAUACAUAUAAUAAAAAAAUUGUGAAAUAACACAUGGCACAAUAGGACACCAACCAGAAUGAUAAUUGAUAAUGGAAAACAUUUUUUGUUGUCAGAGACACAAAAUCAAAUAUUUCCACUCAAUCAUAUUUUACUAAAUUGUUUUAGAACUAAUAUUUAAAUAAACAUUUUGGAAAUGUGAAAUAUUCAUUUAAUUUUUAUUUAAAAAGCCAGAUUUUGUUUUUGCUUUUCGAAUACAACUAAGAAUUGAACGAUCGUAUUUAAAAAAAUAUGCAAAUUAUUGAAAGUUAAAAAAAACACAAUAACAAAAAAAACAUAUAACAGAUGUACCAAACCGAAACUCUAAUUUUUUAAACAUUAAACAUUAAAAAUCAAAUAGUUAUUAAACGAUACACAAACAUUUAUUUUUAAUAGUACAAAUUAUAAAGGUACAGUGCAUGUGGAAGUGUGUUGUUUUAAUCGUUGAAUUUUCCAAUACCAUAAAAGAGAAACGCAAUGACACUGGCUGAGUUUUAGUCGUUUCCAAUAAAUAUUACUUUCUUGAAAUCUAUUUUUAUCAUUAAAUUUAAAAUUUAUCAAUGUUACAAUACGUGAAAUCCUAUAGGCUUCUCUAAGUAUUCAACGACCAACGAAAAGCUUACACUCACGAGCACGUGACAUUCUACUUUUAACCUUAAGAGAAUAAACAUACCCAACUAAUUACGACUAAGUUAAAUUUAUUUGACAAGAUACAUAUAAUUCGAACCUUGCUACUAAAAGUAUUAACAAGUUUUUUUUUCAAUAUUGCGCGAAUAAAAAUUUGAACAUGUUUAAACAAUAUAUGUAAAUAAUGUUUUAACCUAUUGAACCAUGCUCAAAUGAAAAGGAAGUAUGAGGUUACAACAAAUUUGACCAACUUUUCGUAUAGCAACAAUAUUAAAGACUUGAUUAUAUCAACUUUUCUAAUGUUUAUAAAAACUUUUUUUUACAUCUCUAAAGAACUUUUUCUUUCAAAUGUGGGGUUAGGGCAAUAUAUUUUUAUAAUGUCGUUUGGUGUGGGUGUAGCUUUCAGUCCUUCUAUCAAAUUGGUUUCUUUGUACGCCAACUUUGACUUAACAAGUCAAGAAUAAAACGAAUUUCAAAAGAAAAAAGGACCAAAUUCCACUUUAAUUAAUUACCUCUAUUCCAACAUAUCAUGUAGAAAUUUUCAUACCAUGAAAAAGAUGUAUUAUAAACUUUGGAAGGGGUUAAGAUUUUAAGAAUCCUAUUUUGUGCAGUUUUGUAUUUGGUUUUUUGUACACCUAAUAUAUGCUCUGUAUUUAUUAUAUUAUCUCAUAAGCUUGGUAUGCGUGAGAGUUAGAGGUCCAAGAAUACAUGUGUAACCCUAAAACUAAUUUUUAGUUAAAAGAAACAAAUUAAUCUAUAUAAUUGACAUUAAAAAGUUUAUUAGUGAUAGAUUUUGGUUUUAAGAAUUAUUGAUAGAAAUUUCUGUUUGACUAACUUCAUCCUUUCCUCCCUCAUUUCAAAUCUCUUUUAUUCUCAAUUUUGAUCACUGACUUUUCUUUUCCUUUCGUAACUUGCUUGUAAGUAGAUUUUUAAAAGUUUUCGUCACCUAAAAUAAUAAAAUAGAGAAAAGCAAAUCAAUGUUUAAAAUUUGAGUGAAAUUAAAGGCUAUGACCUUUCAAAGUUUAAACAUAUAUACAAAAUAGUUUUCAUGUUAUAUUAUAAGUAAAAGUCUUAAAACUUUGUUUAAUAUAUAUAAUUAGUUAACAUGUUAGCUUCAUGAAAAACGUAUAAAAAAUGAAGGAUCAUGAAAUAUUUGGUACAACAAGUCUUGCAUGUAACGAAGAUAAUAUUAUUAUUUGCAAUUGCAUGAAGUUUCACGCAAACUAAGAAAAAAGAAGAACGAAGAAACAAACUCUUGCAUGUCUUUUAGUUUUCUUUUUCUAUUUCCUUGUUUUUGAUUUUUCCUAUACCACAAAGAAGAGAAGUGGAUUUAUUAGAUACUUUAGAAUAUCUCAACUCAAAUACAUCUAGUAGUGAUGCAUUCAUUCAAUAAAAAAUAGCUUUGCACGAAACAAAAAGAGGAAUCUAUAAAGCAAAAUAAUUGAAUCUUGUGCUAAAUGUCACCAUGUGUCCGAGACGAUGCAGAGUGACCAACGUUUUCAAAUUAAAUCGUUAGUUUUAAAUCAAAUCUUGGACUACAAAAAAUGUGUUCUCUCCUCAAGAAUUUUAGAAAAUCGGAUUUUCAAAUUUUCUAGAUUCUGUCUUAGAAUUUUGUUAAAGGAAAAUGAUAUAUAAGUUAAUAUAAAAGAUAGGAAACCUUAUGAAAUGAUUGAUUAAAAUUUGAAUGUUUGAAAAGCAUAAAAAAUAUAUAUAUAACAUUAUAGACAAAUUUUCUAAAUUAUUAAAAAGGAGUUUUUAUUUUAAAACAUAGAGAACUUUAAAUUGGUAGGAUUUUAAAACAUUGAAAAUAUUAAUUAAGAAAUAGUUGAAAUUUUUAUAUAAGAAAAAAUAUGAGGCUUAAUAGAAAAAUUAAAUAAGUAAAAAUAAGGAUAAAUAAGCAUCAUAGAAAAUUAUGCAAAUAUAAAAUAACAUAUUGAGAUUUUAAUAAAAACAUAUGAGUGAUCGAUCUAGAACUUUAAAAGAAUCAAUUCCUUCACCUCAAUAAUUCUAGAAAAUCGAACUCUUAAAUUUUUUAUAUUUCGUUUUCGAAAAUAAAUAUGCUCGAAACAAAAAAUUGUAAAACAUAUAACUUAACGAACUUUUAAAUGUCUCAAGAGAAAUUUAACAUGUAAAUAAAUAUUAAAUUGAACAUGAAAGUAGCCAUUAAUGAAAAAUAUUAUGUAAACAACCAAUAUCAUUUAAAGAAGCAUAACCAUACAUUAAUAAACAUUAAAAAAACACAUUAACAUUCUAUAGAAAAAUGAUUGGAAAUCGAACUUCUAAAGAAUCGACUUCUCACCUUAAAAAUUCUAAAAAAUUGAUCUUCCAAAUUUUGGAGAUUAAGAAAAUUAAAUGUUAACAAAUUUAAACAAUUAUUAGCAAUAACAUAUUAAAUUGACCACAAAACAAGAGUGUAAAAUAUAUUAAAUAACAUAUAAAAGAAGAUAAUAUUAAUUAAAGAAGCAAUAAUCAAUGCCAUAAGAAGAAAAAAAUAAUUAAAUAAAUAAAAGUGCUAAUUACAAAAAAAGUAAUGAUACAAUAUAUAGAAAAUAAAGCUUAAGAAUAAAUUAAAAAAAUAAAAAAGAGAUAAACAACGAGAUAGGAAGAAAUAUGUUAUAAUAUAUAUAUAAGAGAAGUUCAAAAGAUAAUAAAUAAAUAAUUAUAAGAGAAAGAAAAGUAGAUAAAUAAGAACAAGAAAAAUAGAUAAAUAUUUAAUCAUUUAGUUUUUGUUUUGCAUUUCUUUAAAUGGAAGCUUGAAGAAAAAUAAAUAAAGUAAUGAGAAUAGUAAGAAUAAUAAAGAAUAAAGAAUAAAGAACUUUGAAGAAAAAUAAACAAAAUAAUAAGAUGAAGAAAAAGAAAAGAAAAGAAAGAAAGGUUGAAAUCCUAACUCACGUUUUAAACUGUGGAUCAUUUCCACCAAAACUCUACCAUAUACCUACAUUUAAAUUAGAGUUAUAUUUUUAGAAAAUUGUAUCAGAUGACAAGAAAAAAUUAAAAAAAUACAUUCUACAGUACCCUACAUUUAACUAAAAAAUAUUUUAAUUUAUUUUUUGUGUUGCAUCUCCCAUGAUCAAAAAAGAAAGAAUUAUCAAUGGCAAAAAAAAAGCUUCUUCAAAUGGCUAGUUUUUUUUAAUUUGAAAAUAAUACUAAUUUUGACCUACAUCUCAAAAUGGCAUGGAGCCUCUAAUAAACAAAACAAAAUUAAAAAGAUACUAUAUUUAGUAUUUUUCCACCUACUUAAUUAGACUAACUAAUUGAUUUAGUUACUCCAACUAAACAAUUAGUUAAAUAAAUUUAUUUUUUACAAAGUUGGUUAAUCACAAAAUUAAAAAUUUUAGCCAAUUUAAAGCAAACAUUAAUCUAGCAAUUCAUCCAACAAAAUUAGGUGACUGAAAUAAUUUUGGUACCCCAUACUCCAUAGAGCUGACAAGAGAGAGUAGUGCUCCUGAUUUCAUUGCUUCUUUUUAUAUUAGAUAGUAGUACAUUGUUCUAUUUUUAAAAAUUAUUUACAACAUAUACCAAAUUCUAUCACUCAUAGUCAUUCAUAUGAUAUAGUGAUAAAAAAAUAUGAUUGGUAGAAUCUUUCGUAAUAUUUUAAUUUAUUUUGUAAUUUUUAAAAAUAUCUCUAUUUAAAUAAUAUUUUGUUUCUUACGUGUUUGAGUUUUCUUUUCCCUUUGUUUUUGGCUUCCUCUCUCUCUUUUCUCAUAUUAAAGUAAUGCUCUUGAUUUGUGUGAGAUUGUUUUUCUCUUCCUUUAUUAUUUUGUUUUUUAUUGUGGGGUUAUUUUCUACUUCUUUCUUUUAACAUUUGGUUUUAAGUCCUAUGGUUGAACUUUGGCAAAUUGGAAAUGGUAGCCUCCAAGCACCGUAAAAAAAACAUUAGAUAUUGCUCUUGCUUUUAAAGCAUUAUAUUUCAAGUAACAACACUUACGAUUUAGACGUGGGUAACAUAAAAGUUUUGAGAGAUUAUUCUUUUGUAAUUGGGUCAGGGAGAGAACUGCUUUAUGUGAUUGUUUAAAUUUAUCUCAAUAGAGACUUCAAAUUCCCCAAAUUUAUUAUAUAAGUGAAACGUAAUAAUUAAUUAAUUAGACACGGCAUUGGAUAGUUUAUAUAAAUAAUUAAUAAUAAAGCAGCCACAUUUCUUUGAUCAGAACCAUAUUAUACGUUGUUCAUUGUAAUACGAUUAACAUAUAUAAUAAUUAAUCUCACGAGCAUAUAUGCAUUUAUUCAUAACUUACAAACACCAACUUCAGAAAAUAAAGCCAUUUUAUUUAAUGUUACACAAUAACAUGUGCUUAAUUGUUAGGCUUAGCUUGAGGCUUUCCAUCAACAAUACCAGCCUCACCAGCAAAGCUGCAGCACCUGAUGCAACGGCCGCGAAAGCAUUCGCAACAACCUCGGUUGCAACCGUGGAGGCAUUCCGCAAGGUUCCGAGAAUGAGCUCCUCCAUAACUGUGGCGCUCCACAUUGUCAACUUCACCAGUUUCCAUCGUAGCUUCUUCUGCAAAGUAAAUCAUUGAUAUAAUCAUUAUAUACUACCACAAAUUUGACCUUUAUUGAUAACUAAAAAUAUUAUCAAUGAAGCAGUGUCAACAAAACUUUUGACAUCAACAAAAAUAAUUUUGUUAUCGGCAAAAAUCAACGUCAAAUACAAAUAGUUUCUGUUGAUGUUUAUUGUCCAUCAACUAAUUAAAAAACCUACAUUGAUUUUAAGCUGUAAUUAAAAAUUUCAUUGGCGGUUUGUUUGUCAUAAACCUCAACUAAAUAAAAAAAUUAUUUGUCAUAAGCCCAAGCUGUGGUAUAGUACAUAACACUAAUUGAAGGAAUUAAAAGUAGCGAGUAUACAUCGCAUUGCAGGUUUAAAAAAUGAAACUCACUCAAUUUCGCAUCCCUUGCUGUAACAGUUAUCGCCUCCGAGGAAAAGAGGACGACGGCAAAAAGAAGACCGAGCAAGAUGAAGGACUUGGAACUCAUUCUCUCUCUAUUGAUUAGAGAUAUGAUCAAUUUAAUUUGGAGGUGAUGGGGUGAGAAAGUAUUGUAGGAUUGCAAUUGUAUUUAUAGUAGUGAUGACAUAAAAUUCAUGUCAAGGUGGGACAUCCUUAGUCCCAAUUUUCAAAGGUAGAUAAGUUUUUGUGGAAUAAUUAUAAUGAGCUUAUCUUUAUAAGAAAAGUAGAACAAAGGUUUCUUACCGUGGAGUCUGUUCAAUGGACAGGCACGUCAAAGUAAUAGACUCAGAUUAGAUAAUGUUAAAAAUGUUAAUUGUACAAUUUAACAUUGUUGGGUUCCAUCAACUUUAGUUAUUUCUUUAGGUUAUACAUUCGUAGAAAUCUUUUUGUAUUAAAAUAACAUCAUUUAAUCACAGUUUGGAGGGGCUAAAAAAUAAGUAUAUCAACGGUAGACUCCUGUUCACUAAUAUAUGUACCUGAUCUAUAUUCUCAAGUGUCUAAUAUAUGUACCUGAUCUAUAUUCUCAAGUGUUUUUUAUAUAUAUAUCUAGUUUUUGUAAAUAUUUUUGUUUAUUUUGUUAUAUAUUUGAAAAUGUUAAGCGGAUUUCUUCACCUAUUUUUAGAUAAAAGAAUUUAUUGAAUCACACGCCAAGAUCUAGUCUUAAAACAAUUUAGUUAAAAAUUUCUGAAAUAAAUAAAUAAACGAACGAAAAUAAGAAGUUAAAAGAAAGUUAGGAAAUGAACAACCAAGUAAUAUAAACAUAUAGCGAUCAGGACAGAGAAUAUUUAUUCUAAUAUUACAAAACGGUGUCAUUAGGUUCGAAAGAUGUGUUUUUCAAUCUAAAACAAAAUGGUUAGAAAUUUCAAGUCUUCUUUCUGUGUUAAGGGCAAAUUAAAGAGAAAAAUAAUCUUUGAUCAUAUUAACAAAUAAUUGAAAGAAUAAUGUAUAGUACAUAUGCAUGAUCCAUUAUGUUGCAUGCAUUUCUUAAAUGAAUAAAUAGAAUUUUGAAAUGUAAAAAAAUGAUGAGAGAUCAGACAAAGAUAUAUCCAACUCUUCAAAAAAUGGUUUUGUUUUUGGAACUUCUGUUCUAUAGUUGGGAAAAAGAUCAGUCCGUGGAUGGAGAAUUAACAGGAGCAGCUUCAACACACGCACGAGGAUUUUGCUUUCCAGUAAUGAUGGGAAUCACAUUUCUACACUGAGACGUAAUCCGUCCUUGAGUUCCGAUGUAAGCGAGGUCAAUAUCUGUAACUUCCACACCUUCACACGAAAAGACUGUGCUACAAAUAAAUUUAACAGCAACGAAAGUAGCAGAAGUGCCUCUGAUAUUCUUGAAACUAACGUUGUUGAUCUUAAUUUUUGAUGGAAUCUGAACAAAUGUAUACAUAAAGAAAACCAAAAAUUAAAUCAGGUUAGUUUUGCAUUUGUUAUAUAUAAGAAAAAAUAUUCCUUAAUUGAAGUUAAUUAAUUAAUUAGUUGAAAUUUAUGAAUAAGGAAUAAUUUCAAUACAUAUACCUUUUUGUUGCAUUGAUUAGAUGGACAAUAUUCUUGGUCAAUAAUCACAGGAUUGCUAACAUUAACCAUUUCAAUAUCUUCAAAAUGCAAGUCAGAGGCUGUGUAUGCAACUGCACAAUCUGGCCAUGUCUUGAUUCUAACACCAUUUGAAGUAUUGAUAAGUUUACAUGAUUUCACUGUAACUCCUGCCACCUCUUUCUCCUUGGUGUACUUGCCUAAACUUCCUAUACUUAUGCCAUGACCUGGUCCGCAAGUUACAUUAGUAAUAGUUAUUUGCUUGUUGCUGUCUCCAACAGAUAUACAAUCAUCUCCGGUUGAGAUACGUGUAUUGAAAAUGUUAAUCACUUCUGAACUGCUCACAUGAAUUCCAUCGGUGUUGGGACUAUUCUCUGGUGCAAUAAUUGUCACAUUUUGAAAAGUAACAUUCUUGCAACCCAAAAGAUUGAAGUGAAAAUUCUUACUAUCCAACGAAGUUAUGUCCUUCACCAUUGAAUUGGUUACGAAACUGAACUUCACAUUCUUACAAAUUUAACCCCGGCCCGCCCCACAAAAAGAAAAGGUAUCCGAGUUAAAAACAAUGCAUUAUGUUAAUCGACAAAAUUAUAUAAUCAACGAGAUUAAAAAGAAAGAAGCUAAUACAAUUAGAGAAUUAAUUUACCAUAGGAAGUUUAGUGCAUAUUUUCUUCAGGUGACAAUCAUUCUUUUCCCAACCUUUUUCUCCUUGACCAUCAAAAGCACCUGUGCCUGACAAUGUCAAUUGAUCGAUAUAUUGAAAAAGAACCAACCCAUCUCCUAUUGGAUCUGGAUGAGCUUGUAAUGUUCCUUCCAUCCGAACCUCAAUAGUACUUUUGCAAGGACCAUGGAGAAUGGAUUGGUUUAGAUGGUAAACUCCCAUUGGAAUCAACAAUUUACUAGAAUAGGUCGAUGCACAUGCAUCCUUCCAUGCAUUUGCCAAAGCCUAUAAAUUGUGAAUCAUUUGAUUAAACAAAAAAAAAAAUACAUAAAGUACGAAAUUUAUCAAGUUAAUAUAUAUUUACCUGAGUAAUAUCAGUAUUAGGUUUGGCACCAUAUGUAGUGAUAUCAAAAAUGGAUUGACCUUUUGCAGUUGAUGCCAACAUUAACAACAAAUGUAAUAGUAAUGUCAUAAUGUUUGACCUCAAUCCCAUCAUUUUUAUUUAUUGCCUUCUGCUUUUUGCUUAUGAUCUUCUCUUUAUUCUAAUUGUUAAUUAACUAUGAAAAUGGAAUGAAUGAUUCAAAUAUAUGUGCAGUCAUUCAACCCUUCUUUAUACUUUCCAAAAAAAUUUGGUUGCUAAAUUUGAAAAUGAUCGUUGAAAUAUUGAAGUUAAACCAUUAGCUGUGUGUCAUAAAAUUAGCCAUUUCAUGACAAUUGGAAUUUAUUAAUCAUUCCCUCAAUUCAAUCAAAUUUCUGUUCGAGAACAACUCAAAAAAGGAAGAAUUGAGAAUUUUGGUGAAAAAAGUAUUAGAAAUUUUCACUUUAUUUUUCUCAUUCAUAACUCCUAAUAAGUAGAUAGGUCCACAUGUUUCAUGUUACGUAGAUAUAUUUAUUUCAAUGCUUAUUAAAUUUUGAUGGUGAAAUUCAAACUUUUAAUUAAAUUAAUCAUUCAGUUAUAUUUAUUUACUAUAAAUUGAGUGCGAGGAUUUGAACUAAGUUUUCUUAGUUCUCAAAUAUUUAUGAGUGUUAAUAUUCAUAAGUGUGGAUUGAGGUAAGCAUAUGCUAAAUGAAGUUUAAAAUAUUACUUUUCUGUACAUGUGGUAAUAAAAUAAUAAUAAAAUAUCACCAAAAGUAAAUAAAUAUCUAAUCGAGAUCGAUAUAUUAUUGAUACUUUUAUUGACAUACUCAUAAGAUUGAGAAAUACCAGCAUCUUCAUUUACAUUGACAUCUAUGUGACUAGUCAAUUUUAACAAGAACUUUUAAAAUAUAAACAAAAUUAUAUCAUAAAACUAAAUGAAAAAAUUUUGUUUUAAAUGACAAAAUGGUUAAAUAUAUAAUAUUUAUAAAUAUAGCAAAAUUUUACUUUUAAUUUAUGAUAAGUAGAUGUAAACGUAGAUGGUAGACAUCUCUCUAUUGCUGUAGUCUCUAUUGCAUUUCUAUUAAAGUUAUGGAAAUAAAACCGUAAUUACACUAAAUCAAAAUAUGAUGGUAGAUAUUAUAAAAAUCUGAUAAAAAGCAGAUCUUUGCAAUAACAUACUAAAACCCAAACAUGGGGAAAAGAAAAACUACAGAAGCCACUCCUUCCAUUCCCCAUGAAUUUAUUUCUCAAACUUCCACACUUCACACAUUUCAUCAAACACAAACUUUUUACUUUUUUUAUUAUUUCAUCCCAUAUUCCACACCUUGUCUUAUGGUUUUGCACCCUCUACUACUUCACCAGCGUACCUGCAGCACCUGUACACGCAUGGACCAUAUGUGCAACCUCUGCCGUAGCCACCACUAUAGCCACCAAGACCGAAGUCAUCACGACCAUAGCCACCACGAUGCUAACCACCACCACCGCUGUAGAUUUUGUCGUUCCGUCCUCCAUACUUAGCAUCCUCUACGCCAUUGGUUUCCACUGUGGCCUCUGCAAUGAAGGCGAGAAGAAGGCCGAGGAAAACAAAGGCUUUUGAACUCAUGUUUGUGUUUAAUAAGAGAUUGCUUUUGGGAGAUAUGGAUGAGAAAGAUUUGAAUUCUUAUGGUAUUUAUUGGUACAUAAAAGAGAAAGGGAGAUGAGAAUAUUGAGACAAUUGCAAUUAAAGACUGGCCCGUAAUUUAGUUGGGCAUUAGAUGAACUGAUUGAGAAGUAUUCUGAAAUGAAGAAGGAAAUUAAAAUUUGAGUCAGCUCUCUUAAAUAAUCUUUAUCGUUUAAAUGAUUUGUAAUUAGUCAAACUCUUUAGUAGUGUGACUGUAUCAAACUCCAAGAGCUUCUUUUAGCCAAUUAUCAAUAAUAAUAAUAAAUAUAAUUCUGGAAAAACAAUUUCUAGCAUGCUUUCAUUUUCUAUUCCUAAACUUGGUAAACAAAAUUCUUUGUCUUAAAAAUUAAAACUAAUAUUUUCAUAAAUUAUUUAGCAAAGUUGUUGGAAUAUGGACUGGUUUAUGAUUGUACCAAACAGCAAAAACAAGUUACAAACUACGAACCCAACUAUAUCGUUUAGAAACUGAGAGACCCACGUGGCGGAUGUUGCCUCACCCAAAAGCCACCGGAAAUUGCCUUCACUGGAGACCCACAUGUCGAACAACCAACUGCAAACCCCAAGAACAACCACGGCUGAAACAACCUCUCUGAUGGCUCGAACCCACUGCUAAACCAGCCGCCACACCGCGCGAAAUCCGCCGGUAGAACAUGGAAACUCGCCGACGUUAAAGCUCAGUCAGACGCCGUACUGCCCGAAAAACGAGACCGAAACGCGGAUGCUAAAGCUCUCUCCUCACCGGAAAACGCCCGACCCGACGAAGAACCUCAGAAUCUCCGUCGCGUGGCCGUCCGGUAAACGCCAUCAACGUCAACCCGUUCACCGUCGGCCCCUGCUCUUCUCUCUACUGUGUUUGUAGAAGAAACUUCAACUUUCCUCUCUCUCUAUUCUUGUGUAUUGCGGCAACCCCUCACCUCUCUCCUUUUCUUUUCACUGUAUUAAAAAUGGCAAGUGAUGUGAAUAAUUGCAAAAAUGUGUUCUUGUUAUUCCGCCAUCAACAAAACUAAAAAAACUUUGUUUAUUAAGAAAAUAAAUAAUCCACGUUGUUUAUUUCUUACAUUCUUUCAUAUUUCUUUAAUAAAAUAAGAGAACUUUUCUUUAUGUAUCACGGUGAAGAUAGAUAUUGUAUUAAGAAAAAUAUAUUUCUUAAUGAUCAUUUAUCAUGACCAUCAAGAAAUUAAAAAAUUGUGUUCCAAACCCUACAUCUCUCUUAAUGCAUCCUCUUUCACAAAUACUUCCGUUCCAAAAUAAUUACAGUCUGAGAAAAGUUUAGAGAGUAAAAACAAUUUCUCUCUCAAACAUUAAACCAAUAUAUAUAAAUGAUCCAUACAUAUAUAUAUGUGGAAAGUUCAAUAUGAAAUAUGUUAACAGUAUUGGUAAAAAUACUAUAUAUGGAUGGUCGUAAAAGAAAUACGUACUUUUUAAAAGUUGAACUUCCUCUUCAUCUCUGAUUGGAGAUAUUUGUUGAAAACUCCAAUAACACCUCAAAAUAAUAAUAGUAAUAAUUAUUACUAUUAUUAUUAUUACUAUUAUUGCGUAGGAUAGAACACCAUGAAAUGUUGAUAAAUUUAUUUAAUUGUGUCCUUGUCACUUGUCAGUACCACCAUAAACUUUAGAUAAUGCAGGCUGAGCAAACAUUUUUUUACUUUCUUUUCUCAUUUGUAUGCAAAAUAUAUUGCCACCAUAUAUCGUUUUGACUAAAGACGAAAGAAAGCGUGUAUACCUUAACUAUUAAAAUUUAUGUUCAAGUUAUGGAAAUAAAACCCUUAAUUACACAAAAUGAAAAUAUGUUUGUUGAUAUUAUAAAAUUUUACAAAAACCAAAUCUUUGCAAUAACAUACUAAAACCCAAACAUGGGGAAAAAGAAAAACUACAGAACCCACUCCUUCCAUUCCCCAUCUAUUUAUUUCUCAAACUUCUACCGUUCACACAUUUAACCAAACACACAAACUUUAAACCUUUUUAUUAUUUCAUCCCAUUCUACACCUUCUCUUAGGGUUUUGCACCCUCUACCACUUCACCAGCGUAGCUGCAGCACUUGUGCCCACAUCGACCAUAUCGGCAACCUCUGCCGUAGCCACCACGGCCACCACCAUAGCCUCCACGGCCACCGUAAUGACCACGACCAUACCCACCACGACCACCGCCAUAGCCUCUGUCGUACCCACCGCCAUAGCCUCUGUCGUACCCUCCACCAUAGCCUCUGUCGUACCCUCCACCAUAGCCUCUGUCGUACCCACCUCUUCCAUACUUGGCAUCCUCUACGCCAUUGGUUUCCACUGUGACCUCUGCAAUGUUAUAUUUAAAAUUAAUCCUUAACUUUACGAAAAUGUUAUAUAAAAUCAAAAUCUGUAUAUAAAGAUGUUAAAUAAUGAGUAUAUAUAUUUUACAUGAGUUUUUUCUUAAUAUUCGUGUCUGUUCGGAGUUAGUUUAUGUGUACCUAAACUAAGUUUACCGAACAAAUUUGGAUGUGAAAGGAACAAGCACAAAGAAUAUUAAAUCAUCAAUAGAAGACUACUAUGCAUUCAACUUCUUAGAUGACUUAAAAUUUAUUAUAACAUAAAACUCACCGUUGUCAGUCUUGGAGGAGGUCUCCGCAAGGUCCCUUGCAGCCACUUCAGAGGAGAGGAGAAGAACGAAGGCGAGAAGAAGGCCAAGGAAAACAAAGGCUUUGGAACUCAUAUUUGUGUGUAUUGUAAGAGAUUGGUUUUGGGGGAGAGGGAUGAGAAAGAUUUGCAUUCUUAUGGAGGUAUUUAUAGGUCCAUAAAAGGGAAAGUGAGAUGAGAAUUGAGACAAUGGCAAUGGCAAUUAAAGACUGGCCCAUAAUUUGGUUGGGUGUUAGAUGAACUGAUUGAGAAGUAUUUUGAAAUGAAGAAGAAAAUUUGAGUCAGCUCUCUUCAAAAAUCUUUAUCUUUUAAAUGAUUUGUAAUCAGUCAAACUCUUUAGUAGUGUGACUGUAUCAAACUCCAAGAGCUUCUUCUAUCCAAUUAUCAAUAAUAAUAAUAUAAUUAUGGAAAAACAAUUUGUAGCAUGCUUUCAUUUUCUAUUUCCUAAACUUGGUAAACAAAGUUAUUUGUCUUAAAAAUUAAAACUAAUAUUUUUCAUAAAUUACUUACCAAAAUCUAUCAAGUAAAUACUGUAGGUUAGUUAUUUAGGGUUCAUUUUUUUCACCUUGUGUUUUUUCUUAAAAAAAUUGAUGUUUAAUUAGAUUUUUUUUUCUAUUAAUGAUUGAUUUGUUUUGGUAUAUCAUUUUCGAUCCAAUAUAACAAAAUGAACAAAAUAUGUGACAUUUUUUAAAAUAAAAAAUAAAUUAAAAUAUUUACAAAGUAUAACAAAAUUUUAAAUUCUAUCAAUGAUAGAAACUGAUAUGCUACUAUCACUGUCUAUCCAUCUCACUAAUAGAAACAUGUUAAUGUCUAUCAAUGUCUAUUAUUGAUAAAAUAUGAAAAUCGUACUAUUUGUUGUAAAUAUUUUGUCAAAUUUACUAUUUUUUACCAUUCUCUCUUAAAAAAAUAUUUAUAAAUACAGUAAAUUUCAAAAUCUAUCAAAGAAAUUGGUAGAAAUAUUUAUAUAGUAUAUGUGAUAUAAAUAAACACUAAUAUGAUUGAAGUUUUUUGUGUCUACUAAUAUCUAUAUUUUUUAUAUUUCUAAAUUUGGCUAUAUUUAUAAAUAUUUUCAAGAAUUUUAGUUUAUACAUUUUCAAAUGGUUUAUCUUAUAUAAAAUUUGAAUAGACAAACAUAAAAUAAAGCACAGCACAAUAAAGAAAACGUUAUUGAAUAGCUUCCACUGAACCCAAUUUGCAAAUAUCAUUGAUAUUUGUAAUAUUCUUUUAAUGCUAUGUUUUCUUACAAGAUAACGAGAGGAUAUUUUUAUAUUUAUGUGAAACUCAUCAACUUAUAUGAAAAUGUCAAAACAACAUUUAUUUAUUUCAUACUCUUCAACUUGGUGUCUGUCAUUCUUUAAAUAGAAUUUUCAAAGCUCAUAAAAAUCUCUCGAAAUUUGAGAAGAUAUCAACGCCCUUACGGAUCAUUGGACAAGCAUAUCUCCUCUCUUCAAAAAUUAUUUUGAUAGCUCUAUUGCUCUAAGUAUUUAUGCUUUUGUUUAAUUGUACUGACUUUGGGUCUUUCUUGGACUUUCCUCUAACCCUUGCUUUUGUUUUCCCUUCUUUCCAUAUUAUCUAUUAUAUAUUAAUGAAGCAUGAAUGAUGAUGAUGCUACGAAGGUACUGUUCACAUAGUGGAGAUGAUGAGAUGUCUUAGUGCAUCUAUUGACCUAUCUCGUAUCUUUUUUAAAAAAAAAAAAACAUUUAUAUAUUUCGUAUACUAUAAUUUUGCAAUAAAUUUAAGAGACCUUUAUAAAACUAACUCCCAAACUAUGCGGGGUAGUGAUAGUUGUGAAACCUAUUUCUAAUUUGAGUAUAGAAAGUAAAAUUUGGUUAAGUAUUUUGAAAAUUUGUAUUUUGGAUAAGAGGAGACAUUUUGAAAUAAGACUUUGCGAUAAGAAGUAUGUGUUUGAAUCAAUCCACAGAAAUGAUUAAGUGAUAAAAUCUUUUAUGGUUAAGUAUAAGUUUUGUUAUUAAGAAGUUAAUUCACGAGGGAGUUUUGAGAAAAGAAUGAUUUGCAAUAGGACCUAUAAACACUUUCAAUAGAAAGAGUCUUCACGAGAAAAUGUUGAAGUUAUUCGUAGAAUGGAAAUAGGCGAGAAGUAAGGUCUGGCAAAGAAAACGUCUAUCUGAUUUGACAGGGGUUAAUGUGUAAGAUUAAAGGUUUAAGCAUGACUGAGUUAAAUAUUAAAUUUACAUGUGUAAAGUUUUAAUCAGGAACCAGCGAACUUAAAAGAGUUUAAGCAUGACUAAGUUAGUUUAAGAGCUAUGUAAAUAAAGGACCUAGUCAUUAAGUAAGCACAUAGAUUUUAUUAAAAAAAAAUUACUAAAAUGUUGUUGUUUUGCUUGACGAGAAAAAGAAAAAAAAAAACAAAGUGUUAAGUGCUACGAUGUGUUUCACAAGAAGGCUCCACAAAAGAAAAGGAAGAGAAGGAUUUUUGAUAAAGUGUGGGAAUGUUUUCUCUUAAAUGAAUUAAUUAUGUUAAAAAAUUUAUUAUAAUUUCUCUUUACUUAUUUAAAAGAAGAAUUCCAAUGAUAAGUGUUUCAAAUGAAAUUUAUAUCAAAAGUCUAUAUGUUUUCAAGUAUGAUUUAUAAUGUUAAAGUUGUUUUCUUGAGAUGAUGCUAACUUUUAUGUGCACAUAAAGAGUCAAGGUUACUAUGGGGUGUACAAGGCUACAUGGUGAUAAGAAGCUGGUUUAUGCUUUGAAAUGAGCGUAUAAAGCUUAGUUGGCCUGAGCAACAAGGACAAUCUGUAUGUUUUCGGAUGUUGUUGAUACAACAGUCUAAAUGUAGGGUAAUGAGACCAAACGUAGAAAACGAUUCGAGAUCCUUGAUGAAAAGUAUAAUUGACUAAUGGGUGUUAUUGUGAAAUGAAUCUUGAUGUGAUUCACAAGUUGAACUAAUUUUAUUGUAAAAAUGAUUAUAUACGUUUUGAUAUGUUUUGCCAAAUGAAGUGUUUAUUGAUAAACUGAUUUGUGUUGAAAUUUAUGAUUUGACGAAAAACAUUUUCAAAGAGCAUUGCAAAAAGGAUUUCAUUAAAACCUCACUAAAUCUUUUAAACUUGCAUUUUAAAUUUUAUCUUCCAAGAUUUAGCAUUUAGGCCAAUUAAAGAAGAAGGUUGAAGGGCUUGCGGCAAGUUGAGAAAGCCACGAGGCGUUAAAGAGCUUUGAUCGAUAAAUGUUAAUUAUUUGAUCAAAAUGUUGUAAUUGUUUGUUCAUACCAAACGCCUGUUAUUAAUAUAUUAAAGUGUGUGUUUCAGGUUAUGUUACUUAUUGUACUUGGCAUUUAAAGUUGAUUUUCGCUACGUUUUGAGUUUCACUUCAUAGUUUGAAAGGAGUUGAGAAUAAGCUAGGCAGUAAGACUAAUUGUAAAGUUUAAUUAAAGUUAAAUCUUGUAAAGUUUAAAGUUAAAUCAUGUAAAGUUUAAAGUUAAAUCACGUCCUAUCCGCACAACUUCCUGCAAUUUUGUUGUCGGAACAGAGUGUGACAAUAGCGAUGCACCUAAACUAAAUUUACUAUUUUGGUUGUUACAGUGGUCGAUAUGAAUAUAGAUCAAUGGAAAGAAGAAUAUCAACAUCCUCUCUAAAACUUAAAUAUAUUAAUCUAAAAUUUUCAUUUUUAUGUUAAAUUGAGAAGAAGAAGAAAAAAAAAAGAAACGAAAGCAAAAGUAUUAGGUAAUAAAAAUAUUUUGAAGAUGAAAAAAAUUUGAAGUACUCUUGAAAGCAUGAAUAAAUAAAAUUUGGUUCCACUUGUAUUGUUGAAUAUCCUCUUGUUCCUUUCCAACCAAAUGUUCCAGAUAACCCCAUCAACAGACUGUAAUUGUUGAUUUCAUAACACACAAACUUGAAAUCAACAAUUAAGUAAUAGAAGACCGUAAAGAUCGACACACAGAUAAAACAUGGUUCACUAACAGUGUAUUAGCAACUACAUCCACAAACAAAGGAAGAAAAAAUAUGGUUAGGAGAGAGUGUUUUCUAAUACAAAUGUAGCUGGAUAGAGUGCAUCCAAUGAAAUUCUCAUUGUUUUGGUUGCAGACCGAGCACGCCAACUUGGAUUAAGGCAGUGAUUUGGGAGGCUAUUUAGCAGAAUAAUCUCCACAGUGUUUCCCGGGUAGAAUUUAGCAUAAGAAAAAAUUUCACUUCUUAAUUAGAAUGGGAGAUUUUUACAAAUUAUUAAAGAUUGUCAGGACUAAGAUUUUCUAUCUUUGGAAGAUCAUUUCCUCUUUCCUCGUUAGGCUUAGGGAAAGAUGCUUUGACAUUAUCCCAUAUGCUAAUGUCCCUAUCCCGGAGGGGUCCUCUAGGCUUAAUAUCCCAACCAAUCUUUAAUCGAGCUAUUUGCGCCAAGGGAUGAAGCAAAAAGCUUGGGGAAGCCAAAGGAGAGAGGACCGUGUUGGUUCAAUUUUUUAUGCCAAAAAAGAAAGAGAAAGAAGAGAGCAAGAUGAUUAUACUAAAAAAGAAUUGCCACAGUUUCUAUUUUAAUUAUUAUCCCUGCAUAACUCUUUCACAUAUAUAUUUAUAUCCAUAGGUUGUACACAAGUGAAACUAUCCUCAAAUUUAUAUGCUAUUUAUAUAAUAUAUAUAUAUAAAACUAUAAUAGUAUACUAUAGUCAUGUAGUUCAAACUUCGUUUAUUACCUUUUUAUUUUAAAAAUAUUUUAUUAAUAGUAAAGUUCCUGUGAACAUAAAUUUCUCCAUCAUCUGCUCCUACUUGUAUAUAUCAUCUUUAAUUAAUUAUCAUUUAGUGUCCACAUGUACAGUUUAAUUCCCAAAUAGUGUUCAACAAAACGAAGUAUUAGAAAUUUUCACUUUAUUUUUCUCAUUCAUAACUCCUAAUAAGUAGAUAGGUCCACAUGUUUCAUGUUACAUCUAUUUAUUUUAAUGCGUAUUAAUUUUUGGUGGUGAAAUUCAAACUUUUAAUUAAAUUAAUUAUCUCAGUCAUGUUUAUUUACUAUAAAUAUCACUAUAAAGAUCAAUUGAGCUAAGCAUGCUUAAUAAAGUUUAAAAAAUUACUCUUCUAUACACGUGUGGCAAUAAAGAUAACAAAAUAUCACUAAAUGUAAAUAAAUGUUUGGCAAGUUUUAUUAUUUUUAUAACUUCUUUAGAAAUAUUCAAUCGAUAUGGAUAUGAUAUUGAUUUUUGUUUUAUAAAUUCGUGAAAUUGAGAAAUAUAAGCAUUUUCAUCAACAUUCGCAUCCUAGACAUUACUCCUAUAUGACUAAUGAAUUUGAACUAGCGAAACUAAUUCAUAAAACUAAAUGAACAAAUUUUAAAAAAUUUUAUUUAAAAUAACAAAUAUGAUAGAACGUAUAAUAUUUACAAAUGUAACGACAAAAUUUUACUUUCAGAUCGUGAAGGUUGUGGUAAACCUGAUAGACAUCAUAUAUUAUUUUAGGCGUUAUAUUGUAUUGAUAAUAAAAGUAAAAUUUUAUUCUAUUUAUAAAUAUUUAUAAUAAUUUUUUAUAUUCAAAACAAUUCAAAAAAUUAAGUUGGCCUAAAAUUUCUAUUUUCAAUAUUUAUGGCCAUAACAGUUAUUUAAGUGAUCGGACUCCAUGAGUUCGUAAAAUUUAAAUGAGUUAGGCAAACAAGUAUUAAUUUGUAAUUUAUUUCUUUUUCUUAAUUGCAUUUUCUUGUUUUUGACAUGUUUAUUUAUUUUUAAUCUAAGUUGAAUGAUAUGGUAUUAAAUUUGUCUUUCAUCCGUUAAUUUUUCUUCUUUUCUUAACAUACCUUCCAGUUAUUGUCGCUCCAAUCAUCCUCAUCUUUGUCUCCGUCCCUAGGCCCAGGCAUCUCCCUCAAUGCAUCCUCUAUCACAAAUAGGUUCCAAAAUAAUUACAGUCUAAGAAAAGUUCAUAGAGUAACAACAAUUUCUCUCUCAAACAUUAAACCAAUAUAUAUAUAUAUAUAUAUAUACUAGAAAGAACACGUGUUUUGUACGUGAAAAGUGUAAUUUUAAAUCUUAAAUUUAAUUUUAGUGUCACAAGUUAAAAACUAAUUAUAAACAAUAUCUUUAGUUUAUAUAUAUAUAUAUGCUAUUAUUAAAUUCAAAUCUACCAAUAAUAAGGUGACCAGAUUGGACAAUUAGAUCUUAACCAGAGAAUAUAAAGGACCUAUAUAACAAUAUAAGUUUAUGAAAUAUACAACUAUAUAACUACAAAAUAUUAUAUAAACAAGGAGAGAAAAUUAGUGAGCAACCAUAAUAUAACAUGUACUUUUUUUUCAUUGAAAAUAAAUUAAAAAAUAAGAAAAUAAAAAGAGAUCAAAUGAUGGAUAAAGAAGUCUCUCCAAUCCAAAAUAUAAUGCUAAAAGACGACCAAAAUUUAAUUAAUAGAUUAUAGAUACAUAAAUGAAAUAAAAUUAUAGUGCAUAGUAAGUAUUGUAGAAAUAUUGCUUAUUCGAGACAUAGUUGACAUCGUUGGAGGCCUCCUUGGAUUCUCUAUACAUUUGUUGAAAAACACAGAAAUUCUCCUUGUUUUACACCAAAUAAUUAUUCUCCUAUACGUGGAUUUAUUUGAUUGCUCACAAUUUCAUUAGAUUUUAUUUUAUAUAAAAAUACACAGAAAGAAAAUGAUUGGGAACGUGAACAUGAGUCACAAAGAAGAUGAGAGAGAAUGUGUGAGUGAUAGAAGGGAAGAAGAAAAUUUUAUAUAGCUUUAAAAUUGAGCUAAUGAAUAAUAAUAAUAAUAAUAAUAAUAAUAACAACAACGACAAUUAUUAUUACUAUUAUUGCAUAGAAUAGGAGAGACCAUGAAAUAUAGAUAAAUUUAUUUAGUUGUGGUUGCCAUUUUGAGUACCACCGUAAACUUUGGAUAUUGCAGGCAAGGUGGUUAAUAGAAUUAAGAUUUUAUUAUAUGUAGGUAAAUAUUUUCACCGAUUUUAAUAUUUAGAUGUUUUCUUUUAUUAUUAUUAUUAUUUAGUAUGAGUGAUCAUGUGAGUUUUUUUCUUUCUUUCUUUUUUCUAACGAAAUAUAUUGAAGAUUUUAACUAAAGAUGAAAGAAUGUGUGUAUACUAAAAAUAAGUGAGACGAUCAAUAAUAUCUGAAAGUAAUUAACUGAGAGAAUAGCUAAAGAAACAGACAAAACAAAUAAUACAGAAGACUUUGUUAGCCUAAUUUGACGAAUACCACCUAUAUCUGGAAGCUUCUUAGCUCAUAUAAGAAAUAUUAUUAUAUAAGAUUUAAAUGAGCAAGGAAAACACUUUUAAGUUAUUACAAAAACUUAAUUAAAGACCGACUUUCAUUGAAUUUGUGUUUGAAUCUUUUUGAAGAUAAACUCAAACUCCCUUGAAUUCAUUCACCACAGUUCAACUAUUUCAGUCUUCUUUCAUAUUUCUUAUCAACAGGUGCAGCGUAAAAACCACUUGCAGAACUUCAAUAAUAUUCCAUCUUCAUAUAAAGAAUGCAAUUCGACAACCUUCACAAACAAUAAUUUGAUCUUCGAAAGAGAACUUCUUUGAAAUCAAUUUUCUAUCAAUUUGCACGUCGAACUAAGCCAAUAUAGUUUAAUUAUUUAAAGAUCGAUAUAAUAUAUUUCCGGUAACUUCUUUAUGGAGAGAUAUAGAUAAAAGAUUCAUGUUAGGAAAGAAAAAUAUUUUAUCUUUAAAUAAUAUCCUAAUCUUUAAAUAAGGAAGUUAAUAAUAAAAAGAAAUUUAUUGGUGUUGUUGACAAAAAUAUCAACAUAUACGUUAACUAUUAAAAUUUAUGUUCAAGUUAUGGAAAUAAAAGCGUUAAUUACAGGAAAUGAAAAUAUGUUUGGUGAUAUUAUAAAAUUAAAAUUUGCAAAAGCAAAUGUUUGAAAUAACAUACUAAAACAAACCCAAACAUGGGGAAAAGAAAAACUACAGAACCCACUCCUUCCAUUCCCCAUCUAUUUAUUUCUCAAACUUCUACCGUUCACACAUUUAACCAAACACACAAACUUUAAACCUUUUUAUUAUUUCAUCCCAUUCUACACCUUCUCUUAGGGUUUUGCACCCUCUACCACUUCACCAGCGUAGCUGCAGCACUUGUGCCCACAUCGACCAUAUCGGCAACCUCUGCCGUAGCCACCACGGCCACCACCAUAGCCUCCACGGCCACCGUAAUGACCACGACCAUACCCACCACGACCACCGCCAUAGCCUCUGUCGUGCCCUCCGCCAUAGCCUCUGUCAUACCCUCCUCUUCCAUACUUGGCAUCCUCUACGCCAUUGGUUUCCACCGUGGCCUCUGCAAUGUUAUCUUUAAAAUUAAUCCAUAACUUUAUGAAAAUGUUAUAUAAAUUCAAAAUCUGUAUGUAAAAAAGUUUAAUAAUGAGUAUGUAUAUUUUAUACAUUUUACAUGAGUAUUUUUUUAAUAUUUGUGAACAUUCAAUUCAGGUUAGCUUAUUUGCCUCUAAACUAAGUAAACUGAACAACUUGGUUAGCUCUGUAAUCAUUAUCAGGAACAAGGACAAAGAAUAUUAAACUCUAAAUAGGUGACUACCAUGAAUUAAAACUUUUUGAAUAACUUAAAAAAUUUAUUAUAACAUAGAACUCACCGUUGUCCGUCUUGGAGGAGGUCUCCGCAAGGUCUCUUGCGGCCACCUCAGACGAUAGGAGAAGAACAAAGGCGAGAAGAAGGCCGAGAAAAACAAAGGCUUUGGAACUCAUAUUUGUGUGUAUAGUAAGAGAUUGAUUUUGGGAGAGAGGGAUGAGAAAGAUUUGCAUUCUUAUAGAGGUAUUUAUAGGCGUACAAAAGAGAAAGAGAGAUGAGAAUUGAGACAAUUGCAAUUAAAGACUGGCCCAUAAUUUGGUUGGGUGUUAGAUGAACUGAUUGAGAAGUAUUUUGAAAUGAAGAAGAAAAUUUGAGUCAGCUCUCUUCAAAAAUCUUUAUCUUUUAAAUGAUUUGUAAUCAGUCAAACUCUUUAGUAGUGUGACUGUAUCAAACUCCAAGAGCUUCUUCUAUCCAAUUAUCAAUAAUAAUAAUAUAAUUAUGGAAAAACAAUUUGUAGCAUGCUUUCAAUUUCUAUUCCCAAACUUGACAAACAAAAUUGUUUGUCUUAAAAGUUAAAAUUAAUCUUUUACAUAAAUUAUUUAGCAGAAUCUAUUAAGUAGAUACUGUAGGUUAGUUAUUUAGGAUUCAUUUUUUCCCUCAGGUAUUGUAAAAGAAAUUGAUGUUUAGAUUUUUUUUUAUUAAUGAUUGAUAUUUUGAUAAAAGGAUGUUAAUAUCAUUUUUAAAGCUUGCUUUUAAAUAUAAUAAAAUUAAAUUUCAAAAUUAAUUUAUCAAUUAAAUUUAUAGAAAUAUUUAUAUAAUAUAAUCAGUAUGGACCAAUAUUUAUACUAUUCAUACUUUAAAAUUUUAUAAUAUUUAUAAAUAUUAAAAAAAUUUCAAAUGAUUUUUCUUAUAUAAAAUUUAAAUAGACAAGAAAAAAAAAAACACAGCACAUGCACAUGCACUAAGAAAUGUCAUUGAAUAGCUUCCCCUGAACCCAAGUUGUAAAUAUCAUUCAUAUUUAUAAUAUUUAUCAACUUAUAUGAAAACGUCAAAACAACACUUAUUUAUUUUAUACUAUAUUUGCAAUAAAUUUAAGAGACCUUUAUAAAACCUAACUCGCAGAGCAUGCACGAUACUGGGUAGUGAUAGUGAUAGUGAUGCACCCAAACUAAAUUGACUGUUUUGGUUGUUACCGUGUUCGAUGUAAAUAUAGUUGAAUUGAAAGAAGACAUCAACGACCUCUCUAAAAAUUAAAUAUUAAUGUAAUUUUUUUCAUUUUUAUGUUCAAUUGAGAAGGAAAAAAAGAAACAGAAACAAAAGUAUUAGAUAAUACAGAAAUAAAAGUAUUAGAUAAUACAUAAAUAAAAGUAUUAGAUAAUACGUAAUAUUUUGAAGAUGAUAAACAAUUGAGGUGUUUUGGAAAGUAAAAACCCUCUUUUUAGAAAAAUAUAGGACUGGAUGAGUAGAUGCACUUUAAAGUAUAAACUGUGUGGCAUGAAUAAAUAAAAUUUAUAUGAUUCUCAGAUAGUAUUAGAAUUUUAUUGUUUUGAAGGAUAGCCGACAUAAAUUUCAUGAAAAUUCUGGCAAUAUCUCCAAAUCCUAUCAUCCACACACACAGUCUCUCUUCCUUUCAAUUCAAUGAAUGGAGGAUUAAAUUUUACAAAUGGAUGGAAAAGAUUUCUUCUCUCUUUAAAGGAAAUGACAAAUUGAAAAAAGCACCAAAUUGUAGUGAUGGAAUACUAUUGGCCGUAAAAAUUAAACACCUUACAUUCAACCACCAAACUUAGGUGACGGUAGAAAUGGUAACAUUUAUUUGAGUGGGAGGAUUCAAUUUUUUAUCAUUUCAACGUUCCACUUUUACGGCUAUUGUAAGUUAAUUAGAACACCGUCGUAUAAGUUUGAAGGCUCAAUUUUUAUAAUUGAAAGUUUGAUAAUGUAAUUGCAACUACCAUUCUAUUUUAAAUGUGGUUUUUGUAAUCUUUACAUAACUUGUAAUGUAUGUCAAUUGUAUACAUAAGAUAUUCAAAAUUCUUUACAAAAUACUCAACACACGCAAACUUAUGACCUCAUGUGUUAUGAAUCAACAAAUUAAGUAAAAGAAAAUUGUAAAGAUCGACACAUAAAUAAACAUGAUUAACACUAACAUUGUAUUAGCAGCAACAUCCACGAACAAAGGGAGAAUAAAUAUUGUUAGAGAGAAUAUGGCACCACUAGAUUAGAUAGAACAAUGUUUAUAGUACAAUAUGACAUUACUUGAUUUGAAAGUUUAUAUAUGCACUUCUCUAAACCCUAAAAUCAAAAUCAUGAAUGACUACGUAUGCACAAUUAUGAAAAACUAAAGAAUCUAUGGAGUUUUCGUGUAGUGCUACUUAACGAAUAUAAGGUAUUCGAACAUCAUGUGUAUCCUAGUUGAUCUCCAAACCAGCUACAUAAUAUUAAUUAUAUAUUCGAAUUUUUGAAUUUUUUAUAACAAAUAUACCUCAAUAAAUUGAUCACCACCUAUGAUUAAAGAUAGAAAAUCAUUUAAGAUAUGCACGUAAAGGUAGCUGAGUAAAGUGAUAAGAUUAUCACACAAGAGAACUAAUAGUUAGGAUAACAUAAUGCGAAAGGGUAUUGGCUCAUGAGCAGAUUGAAGAGUUGGGUUUUUCCAUGUCAUUUUCAUCUCUGAUUUGUGUCUGCAAAUGAGCAAUGAUAAGUGUGAAUCAGUUAAAUUGGUUAUUAAAUGCUGAGACUUUAUUGAGUUGAUCCAUUUUCAAACUUUCAAACUUGCAAAUUUAUUGUGCAAUUCAGAAAGUGGAUCCUUUCAAAUUUAUUGAGUGGGGUCUAAUUAUUCAUCUCUUAUUUACGUCAGAGCAAAGCCUUUCUUAGGGGAUGUGUAUAUCUAUUAUUUCAUUGCCAAGGAAUGGGGGUAACCACUUGUGGGAUCACUUUUCAAAAUUUUAUGAUUUUCUAGAAAAUAUAUUAUUUAAUUGCAUCUUAGUCUCUCUACAAACGUUUCUACAACUCAUCCACACUUUAAUGGCAGUUAAAGAAAAAUAUUGUUUUUUAAAAAGACUCAUUCUAUGUUAAACUGAGAUUAAAUAAUAGAGUGUGGUCGAUUGUUAAAAGAUUUGUGUGUAAUCUAAAAUGAUCGGAUUAGUACUUUUCCAUUAAAAGUUUAUAUAUCUAUCCUUUAAAGUGAUGGACUCUGCAUAAGGAUUGAUAUUUGAUUACAAAUUUUUUUACUUAUGUUUGGUUGGAAUCCUUUAUCUACGUUUUUUUAAAGUGUCUAAUAGAUAUUUUAAUUUUAAAAGAAUUUAACAACGUUUAUCUUUGUUUGAAAGUUUAUAAACUAUGAAUUACAUUUUUAUAUCAUUACAGUUGUGUUUAUUUGGGACAUUGAUAAAAAUGAAUAGAAACAAAAUUCAAAUGUUAAUUAGCACCAGAUAUAUAAUACAUUGAUUGACUUAUUAACUAGCAAAAAAAAAAAUUAAAAGUUUAAACACAUAUUACUUAAUAUUUUAAAGCUUACAAGAGUUGUUAUACACAAUUCUAAACAUUUUGUGUGUUUUUAGUUUUUUUUAAAGGUAAGCUUAUAAACAUCUUAUUUCAUCUCUAAAUUUUAAUUAAUUUUGUUAUUAAACUUUAAUUUCUACCUAUAAAUAGAUAGAUAGUUAGAGCAUGAUUAAGUAAAGUUGAAGUUGAUCUCCUUCUUCCCUAAAAAACUUCUUAUCCCUACGUUGAAGACAAAUUAACUUAAGAAGCAUAGUAUUCGUAGCAAACAUCACACGUAUGUAUCUAGUAUUUAUUAUUCUACAACCCGAGCACAAUCUCACUAAACUUUAAUUUAGAGCUUUGUUAGAAUAAUGACUAUAAACUUUGGUUUUUAUUCUAGCCUUUUGAAUAUCAUGGCCAUGCAACCUUGCUUAUUAUUGAAUAUACGAGUGAGGAUUUGAUAGUGCUCAAGGAGUGUCCACAAAUUAAAGUGGAGACUCCUAGAUGCAGUAUAACACAAUUAUUUUUUUUUAAAAAAAAAGAAAUUACUUUGUAGGUGACUUCUAUGUCAAUAUAGAAUUUAUCAUUGACAUCACGUAAAGAUUAGAUCUAAAUAAUUAAGUUGUUAGACUAAAUUUUCACCAUAAAUAGUACCAAAACAAUGAAGCUAUAAACAGAUGAGUGAUUUGAAAAGAAAUUUAUUUAAUUAAUUGAAGCAAAAAUGAAUUGGUUAGAGUAUUAAUUAGUUAAUAAGUUCUAAUAAAUAGAUAGGCAAAAGUAAGUUAGCAUAGUCAAAUCUGGUUGGCGGGGUAGGAAAAAGGUGUCAAUGUUCUUCCCAUUUGUACAAAGCCACCAAGGAUCAUCUGUCUCCAGUCAAUAUGAAUGCAUUUAAUACAAUACUCGAAUGAGAAAAUAUGUGCAUUUAUAGAUUAUUUUUUUAGUUCAUUUCUAAAACUUUCCAACUUUUUUUUUUAUUUUGGUUUCUAAACAUUUUAAAACGUUUGUUUUAAUGUCUAAAUGUUUAAAAAUAACAUAUAUUGUAAUUAGAAUUUUAUUAACUCUUUAACGAAAUGAAAAGAUAAUUUCUACGUAUGAAUGAUUAUAUUGUCAAAUAAGAUAAUUAUAGUAAAAAGUGAGUGAACUACGAAAGAAAUGAGAGAGAUUUGAGUUUAUAAAAGAAAAACAAAGAGAACAAAAUUAGUACUUAGGUUUAUUUGAUAAAUGUGUUAGUUAUGUUUCUAUGUUGACAUAAAAGAUCUAUAAAAUAAAUUAGUAAGAUUUUUCAAUUAUUUAUCUAUUUAAGUAAUAUAAUAAAUCUAGAUUAUGAUCAUCUAGAAGUUACAUCAACAUUCUUUUAAAGAAUUAAUAGAAUUCUAAAUUAAAACAAGAAUUGUGGUAAGCUUUUUAUUAAAGUUUGAAAAACUAUAACAGAACACAUUUUAAAAGUUUAUCACAAAAAUAAAACAAGAUACUUUAUUAUUAUUUUGAUUCAUAUAUAUAGAGUAGAACAUUAUACACAUAUAUACACAAAUGAACAACAAAAAAAAAUUAGAAUGAAAAUUAGAUUGUGGAUGUUGAUUUUUUGAACGCAGUGAUAUUCUAAAUCGCUCCACUUAGCUUAUGUAUGUUUGGUACUUAUUUUUCUAUUAAUAUAAAUGUUGUUUUUGAAAAAGAAACGUUACAGAAAACAAAAUAGGAUGUAAUUACAGAAAUAAAAGUUAAGGUAUAGAUAGAUAAUUUGUUUAAUAAAGGGAAAAGUUAGAGAAGAUAAAUCUUACAGAGUUGGGGGAAAAGUUGAUAAUAUAUAGAGAGAGAAAACUUGAGAAUGGAGAAUCAAUGUUAGAGAGAGAGAAAAAAAAAAGGUUUGAGAGAUAUUUUAAAGAGAGAAUAUUCAGCUAGAUAAAAAUAUCAAAAUAUUAAUUAAAGAGAUAAAAACAAAAUAAUCAUACACAAAUUUGAUAAAUAACAUCACAUAUAAUAAAAAACUGAGAGAUUAUGGCUCGAUUCGAUAACGUUUUUUGUUUCAUGUUUUUUUGUUUUCGAAUGUGUUUAAUAACUUUUAUUGUUUCUUAGAAAAAGAAAAAGAUUUUUUUAAUAAUUAUUUAUUGUUUUUCGUUUCUUUUGUUAUUUUCUCAAACAUUUUUUCUUAUUUUUAUAGUUUAAAUUAAUUACAUAAAAUAUAAAAUAUAUAGAAUUCAUUAAAAUAUAAAAAUUAGUUAUAAAAUAUUGACAUGAUCAAAUAUUUACGUAAGCCGAUGCAAAUUUAAUAGCUAUAGUAUAAUAGUUUUUAUUAAUUAUAUGUUGUUAAAUUUUAAUUUAAAAUAUUAUCUCUCAUUUAAUUCAUUUGUCCUAAAUGAUGUUGAUGUAAUAUGAAAGGUAGUGAUUUGUCCUAAAACUUUUAGAACUUAAAGAAAAUAGAGUAAAACAAAAUUGGGAGAAACUACUCUUCAUGAUUUUUUAAUUUUGUCUAAUUUUUAGAAACGCCUUCAUAAUUUAAAAACGAAAAACAAAAAGAGUUAUCAAUCAUAUUUAUUUUUUAAAAUAUGAGGCAAAAAUAAAAAAAUGCCCUUAUAUUCACUUCCAAAAGAAAAUUAGUAUUGCUUACAGAGAAAGAAGUAUUCUUAGUCAAUAUAUUCUUUUAUGAAAAAAAAUAUUUUUUCCUUUUAUAAAUUUAUUUUCACCUUAAGUACCUUAAACCUGAUUUGUCAUGUCUUUAAAUCUUCCUUUUAUCUCUAAAAAAAUCUCACUCUAAUAUAUUUUUUUUCUCUACAAAAUUAAGCCACUAUCCUAAAAACUUAUUAUAUAUUUUUUUAUAUCAUUGAUGAAGCGAAAAUGAUAAAAGUGGUAUUCGGAUACACCUAUUGACUCACCGUAUCUUAUUAAAAAAGAAAUAUGUAUACUUUUUUAAAUAGACUACUUUUGAAUAUAACAAGAUAAAAUAAAAUGUUUACCAAUAUAGUAAAAUAUAUUGUGACAUUUUAUUAUAUUUGUAAAUAUUUUUAAAAAAUUUCGUUCUAAAUAAUUUUCCUUUAAAAAAUAUUUUAUUGAAAUUAAAAAUUGAUUAGUGGACUUGGCACAUAUUAUCAAAAAUUUAAAAAUUUAAAACUAAAAAAUAAAUUAAACAAGUCUAUGGUUGAAAAAUCAUGUUUUAAUAAUUGAAAAGGCAGACAAAUGACAGAUACUAUUCUAGUAGCAAAUGAUGUGAUAGACUAUUGAAGAAACAAAAAAAACAAAGGUCUGGUGAUCAAGCUCGAUAUUGAAAAAGUUUUCGACAAAAUUAGUUGGAGGUUGAUUGAUUCUAUGUUUAUAAAAAAAAAUUAUCCAUUCGAACAGAGCAAAUGGAUUAAUUAGGCUUGCAUCUCUUGUGUCCAAUACUCUAUUAGGAAGAACUCCGAGGUAUGAUUAAUCCCAGUAGGGACUCAGACGAGGUGACCAUAUACCCCCUUCAUAUUUGUUUAGGCUUUUAUUAACCUACUUGGAGCAAAAAGAUGAAAUCAGAGGGGUCAAGGUCGAGAAUGAUUUCAAUUUAACUCACUUGUUAUUUGCCAAGGACAUCUUACUCUUUGUGGAAGAUAAUGAUGAUCUCCAUGGGCAAAAAUUUACGGCAUCAAAAGAAAAAGGUGUGGCCUAAGUAUAAAUAAAAGUCUUGGACACACAAACUUUGCAUUGCUCAGUAGAUGGCUUUGACGCUUCAUAUACGAACAACGAACUCUAUGAAAAAGGUAAGUUCAGCAGCUUAAAAGCCCCGUGGAGAUCUACACCAAAGAGGAUUGAUUGGUUCCUUGAAAACGUACAUUGGCAACUCAACAAUGUAGGAAAAAUCUCUUUCUGGAAUGGGCCUUGGAAUGAAAAAUUCCUUCUAUUCUUUACAGGCCUAGACAUUUUGUCCUCUCAAAUCUUCAAUCGGGUAGUGUGAAAAAGAGAUAUGUCCAACCUCAAUAUUUUCGACUAGAAUUUACACCUAAGAUCAUUGAGAAGCUUUGAACUCCAACAAUGAGCUAAUAUGAAAUCUUUCCUUCCUGCUCCUAACAUCGUUGGUGGUACUGAUACACCAACAUGGAAGCUGAAUUCUAAUGGUCAGUUCUCUAUUGCCUCCUUAAAAAAAGCUAUACAUAUUGUGGACCAAAGAGAUGAAUCCAACAUCAAUCCUAAUAUCUUCAAAAACCUUUGGAAGUCAAGUAUCCAAAAGAAAUGUCAAUUCUUCAUUUGGACUCUUUUGCACAAAUGUAUCAACACUGGAAAGCUCCAAAGAAGAUUCGCAAAUUGUAACCUUAAUCCAAAUUGGUGCAUUCUCUGUAAGAACCACUUAGAGGAUAUAGAACAUACAUCUUCAUCAAUUGUGCUGUCACUAAAGAUAUAUAUGGGGGCAAGCUGAUUGAACAAACGAUCAAUUGGAGUAACCACAAUACAAACCUGAUUUCUUUAUGUGAGGAUUUCUUUAUGUAACUCAAAUUGAAAAGUUAGAGAUUUAUUAAACACAUUCUAAAGUGUUGUUGGUUUUAUUUCUUAGGUAUGAUUGGCUAAUUUUAUUAUUGGAAAAACUUGAUUGAACAGCUUGUUCCAUGUUAGUUUGUUGAUUUUAUCUUGAGAUUGGUUUGUUUAGAUGUUGGUAUAUGUAGUGCACAUUUGUUGGGUGACUUCCUACCAUCGUCAUGUCUUGCAAAAUGUUGGAAUAUUGGAAAUCACAUUGUAAGGUAAAAGGCAACAAAGGUUGCAAAAAAAAAUUAUUCUUAUCCGUCGGUGAGAUUCUACAAUAUUUGUGGCCUACUAUGAUUGAUAUAUUCGUUCUUUGAAGAUCUGGGUCUUGUUCAUCUUUUGGGUUGACCACUUUGAACAAUAUUUGAGUCGUUUUGUCUUCUGUGUUUUUGAAAAUCAUAAGUCGUGUCAAUCCUUAAAAUUGCGGAAGUUUGUUCUUGAAGCACAAUUAGUAACUUGAGAAAAAAUUCUCGAAUUUAGGAGAGCCUAAAAUUCAUCAAAUGGUUGGAGUACUCUUCAUUUAAAUGUGGAAAGAUGGAAAGUUAGCAAUUUACACUGGUAAUCAUCAAGUCUUUACAAAUAAGUAAAACAUUAUAUCAGUAAAAAUAGUAUAUAUAACAUUAUAUUAGUAAAAAUACCACUCUGCAUAUGUGCUAGUAUUGCUACCAAAACUCUAUGUUAUGUUCUGGUAUUGUAUGCAACAGUUUUGUUAGGUUGUGUGUACUAAAUCACCUUUAUUUCAUUAUAUUAUAAAGGGUAUAAGUACAAACUUGUUGAUGGGUUAACUAAAAAUUUGAGCUUUAAAAAAUCACAAAGAAUAGGAUGGUAAUUAACAAGACACUAAAUUUACCAAAUAAAUUAGUUAUCCUAAACUAGCAAGCUUGAAAUUAAUAGGAAAUUAGGAACAAGUAUAUGCCAGAAGAACAACCAUGAUCAUAUAUAAUAUCGUAGAUCAAAGCUAUGAAAAAAAAAACAGUACUAUAUAACACACCAAAUUCAAACGAUGAGAUACCCAAAUCCAACAAAAUAGAUUCCAACCUAAGCAAAUCAACCUCAUAAGAAACCUAACAAGUAAUUCAAAAUCUUUUUUUAAAGUUCAAAAUUACCACCUGAUUUUAAUUUGAAAGAAAUCAAAAUUGUCUAAGUUAAUAUAAAUUGAUUCAGAUGAAGACACAAACCAAGUUCGCUUUUAUGUGGCCUCAUGCAUAAUUCUAUGACAAAAAAGCAGACCCUUUUUCCUCAUAUUUGGUGAUAUAUUUCUCACAUACGUCCUUUCGGUGACUUUAUCGACACCCAAUGGCCAGCAGCAGGAAAGUGAGUCAAACAUGUAAAAGAGCCAGAGUGCAACAUUUUGUGCAUAAUUGCACACAUAAAUAUUGAUCACAGCAACAAAUGGAAAAACUUUGUGCACUAAACGCUAGAAUUUUCUUUCAAUCCUCGAAGCAUGAGCCCUCAAUCAAAUAGAGAGAAAAAAAAAAAAACUCCAUAUCCAAAUCCAAUAGGAACUACUAAUAUCUUCCUAUCUCCACACUCAUGAUCAAGCCCUUUUCAAUUCCAACCAGAAAAAACAAAGAAUUAAAAAAAAAAAAAAGGUUGAAUUCUUGAUUCAAGAAAAGGCUUUGGUGGCUUCUCUUUGAACAGCUUUCAUCAAGAACCCAUCUUUUUCCAAAGCCAUUUGAAUAGGCAAGAAUCCCAUUCCCUCAGCAAUAGCCAACAUCAUAUUCUUCAUCCCCAUCAUGAACUCAUCCACGUCAACUUUUCCAUCCGAAUCCCGAUCGAACUGCUUGAAGACGGCACUGUAGAGUUGAGAGAGCUCAUCGGCAUCAGGUUUCACAUCGGUUCCAAAGUCAGCUUCGGAGACUCUCAAAGCAUGCAACUCCUUCAGCAUCUCGGCGUAGGAGAGGAAGCCGUCGCGGUCAGUGUCAAGACGGGUGAAGUGCUCUCUAGUCCAACCAUUGAAAGCUUCUUCGUCUUCCACAAAGUUGACUAUGGUGGCGCCGUCAAGUAAUUCUACGCUCAUCUUCGAUUGUUGGUGAGAGAAGAGAUUGAGAUGAGAUUUCCUUGGUGGGUUUGGUAUAUAAAGGCCUCUCUCUAUAACUUAAUUGGCGGUGGUUUCCAAAACAAGGAUUUUCGUUGGUUCAUUAUUGAAUUAGGGUUUUCAAUUAUUUUCCUUUUUUAAUUGGGAAUUAGGAGUAAAUAGCCAUUUUCAAGGUUAAACUUGCAAAUAUGGAAAAAAGAAAAAACGUUUUUUGUUUCUUAGCAAAUUGAAUCUCCAUACAUGCAUGUGUCCAUCUUUCCUUUAUUCACAGAUUGCACUUAAUGAGUUAAAAAUUGCCCUUCAUCAUCAUGAUAAAUAGUAAGUAUAUCCUAGAUUUAAAUUCCUGAUUUUUCUUCGUAAUUAGAUUUAAAUUUCUAAUUUAAGUAGUAUAUCUGUCCUAGGGUAUCUUCUGUUGUUGGUUUGGGUUUUUAUACAUAAUUUGAAUGUGUGUGUGUAUAUAUAUACUCAUCUGUUAUAUAUAUAUUUUUAAGCUUGUUUUACAAAUUUGAUCUUCCAUAUAAUCUCUUUGUUGGUUAAAACAGAAACAUGUAUUAUAAUGGGGGAAAAGAUGGUACAAUAUCGUCGUGAUGGUUCCAAUUCAUGCUACUUGGUUCUUACCUCAAUUUUGCUUACGAGUUCUGGAUUCAACUUUGGGAAUGACUAUGAUGUAAAAGCUCUACGAAAUCGUUAGUUUUAUUAUAAUAAUUUGAUUACUUGUUUUUCUUCUUCUUCUUUUGGUAAUUGUUAAAUUCAGGGAGAAAGGUAAAUGGAAUCAAAUUUGUACUUUUUUUCCUUCUGCAUUGUUUACCUACGAUGUAUUUGUAUUUUAAUUUGGUCCUUUGUUAGAUUCAUGAAGAUGGUCAAGCAAAUCAAAUUUGUUCGGUAUUUAAUUAAAUUUAUUAGGUAUGAUGUAUUUUGUUGUGUUCUAUUUGAUUUAGUAAAUUUAUUUAGGUACAAUUUAUCUUCGGGUGAUGUGUUUGAUUUGAUUAAUUUUUUUUAUUAAAGGUAAAUUAAAUCUUUUUUUAUAUAAUUAUAGAAAAAAAAUGGCUUUUUAAAAAAAAAAUAUAUAAACUGGUGCACCAUAUAAAACAAUGUAUAAACCUAAAAUUAAUUACCUCAGUCAUUCCGCUGCACAUGCGAUACAUGAUAUUGGGCAUAUCGUGCCUCGAGAUGUACGAGAUGCUCCGAACCAUGUCUCGGACUAAAUAAUUCUACCUUUAGUUAUUGAAAUUGGAUAAUUAGAUCUCUGGUCUUAGCGUCACCAAGAUGGUUAGGAGUUAAAGAAAUUUGUUAGGCAUAAAAUUUAUCUUUAUUUUAUUCUAUCUCGAACAUACACCGCCUGAGAUUCCUAAAAAGAAAAACUUUUGACUUUAAUUAUAAAGAUUUAAAUUGCAAUAACAUAUAUGAAAUAUAUGAAACUUUUUAUUUUGUUAUACCAUCUAAAAACAGCUACAAACUCAGUCUUUCAAUCUAAGUCCAAAUUGGUGUUCUUUAUGUAAAAGACACUUUUCAUAGAUUGUUGUACUGCUAAAAUUCGAUGGAACAAGCUUGAAGGACUUCUUGGAUGGAAAAACCAACAACAAAAUGUUGUUUCCUUAUGCUCUUUCCUUUGCUCAAUAAAACUAUCAUCAUUUUUAAUACUAUUGCAUCAGUGUUGUGAAUCUUAUGGUUGGAGAGAAAUAAUCGCAUCAUCAAUUUAUCUUCUGGUGAGCUUAUGCUCUUUCCUUUUCUCAAUAAAAAAUCUACUUUUGAUCUUUGGGAAGACAUCAUUUCUCUUUCUCAUGGCUGUGGGCUAGCAAAUACCCUAUGUUUGCAAAUUAUAGUGCUUCCUCUAUCGCUAUCAAUUUAAAUGCUUUCUAACUUUUUGUUGUGGGCUUAGCUCUAGCUCUUUAGCUUUCGCGCUGUGUUUGGCUUUUGUCCCAUACUGUAAUUGUACUAAUUCUUCAUAUAUUAAUGAAAGCGGGGAUGAUGAGGGUGCAAAGUGGUGUCUCUUCUUCCUAUAUUAGUGAAAGCGGGGAUGUCCACCUAGUAGAGAUGUACUGACCCAAUGUAUCUUUUUCAAAAAAAAAAAAAAAAGCUACAAACAAACAAAAAUGUAACUCAAAAGGAAAAUCGUUAAAAACAAUAUAGGUCAAUCAACUCCCAAUUUUAUAUCGUUUUUCAAAAAAGAAUAAGAAAAGAAGAUUACAAUUUUAUAUCUAAUUAACACCUCCUCAUAAUCCACUCUGCCAAUGGUAAAAACUUAACAAGUAAAUGCUUUGCUUUGCAAAGAAAACACUUCUUCAAAACAUAUGUACCUCUCAGACAUGAAACAAAACUCAUGGACUGUAAUUCUAUUCACCACAACCUCACCAACUGAUUCCACAUAAAGCAAAAGAUUACUUUCUUUUUAGUAUAACCAUAUUAAUAUUUUAUCCUAAAUUUUCAAGACUAAUUUUCAUAUAUUUAAACCUGGUCAUAAUCAGUUCUUCCUUUACUUGGUUAAUAUAAAAAUCAUUCCAUACAAACUAUAUCUUAAACUAGUUGGUCAAAAUGCUAAAGAAAAAAAAACUACUAUUAAAAAAUAGAUGUCAAUACAAAAUUUAGAAAUAUAUAUCUAUAUCAAUAGUGGUAAUAAUAGUUACCAUGAUCUUAAACUUUUGAAAAAUUGCAUCACAUCACACAAAAAUUUUAAAAAAAUAAAAUAAGUAGCCUAUAACACCUCUUUUGCAUAUUACAAAUAUAACAAGUAAGUAGAUAUAUCAAAGAACUAGGACAAAACUAUUUGAUAACUAUCCGUUUUAAAAUUUACAAUCAUCUCGUUUCAUUCUUUUUAUUUAAUGCAUCUAGAAAACCCAUAUUAAAAUAAUCUACAUCCAGGCCAUCUAAUUCCAUAAACCUAUUUUAACUCACCGUUUAUAAUAAUCACACUAUAUAUUGUAACAAAUUUUGCAACCCAAAUAGCGCUAAUUAAAGUGUGGGAGACCAUGAGGUUUGAUCUUUGAAAAUGUUAAAUAAUGUGUAAUUAUAAUAAUCACCUCCACCUCCUGAAUGAAUAUUAUUUAAAAUUCCUCCAUUACUACCAUAAACACUAUUUCAAAAGUCUUUCUAUAGUCUUUACUAUUUUAUAUUAAUAAUUUUAUUAUUAUUUUCUACCAUCUUUAUUAUUUACUUACAAAACUAAAAUAGUUUAUGAACCAAACACACAUAUCAUUAUAACUCAAACUAAUUUGGUUUCAAAUUAUUCUAAUUCAACUAUGAUAACCUAAUAUUAUAAUAACUCACUUGGAGUUCCAACAUCCUUAGGUGUAAAAAUACAAAUUAUCUAUAAUUUUCUUUUUUUGGAAAAAAUAUCUAUAUGUAUAUAGAUUUAGAUUCUAAUUAAUAUACAACUUUUGUAAGAUGAAAAUAAGAAAUCCAAUAAAAAUAGGAUUACAUCUCAUGUUUUUCAUAUGUGUUUAAUUAAGAUUAAGUAUAAACAUUAUUAUUAAAUAAUUUAUAGAUAUAUUUUAUCAUAAAAGGAUUUGGAAGGGUAUAAUUUUUAAUUUGAUAAUUUAUUAUUUUACCAUGUAUGAUCAUGUGAGCCCAUAUGGAAAUGAAUAUAUUAAAUCAUUUUUUUAUAAAGAUAAAAAUUUACUUUCAACUUUUGUUUAAAUAAAGUUAUCGUUUCUUUUUAGAAAAGAUACUAAUGUUUAAUAAAAUUCUAGUUUGAUAAAUAUAAAAAUUAAAGAAAAAGAAGAAGAUAAGAUUAAUCGAAAAAUAUAGAAAGUAAAAAUAAAGAGAAAAAAUAGAUUUUUUUUUUAUAAAUGUAACAUUAAAAAAAGAAAGAUGCGUGGUUAGUUGCUCGAUAAUUAAAUAAUGUAAUUUUCGAUAUUGUUUGUUACUGGAAUUGAAUGUAUUAUAUUGUUUACAUCAACCUUUCCCCAAAAAAAAAACCAUAAGAUUCUGCAUAACAUUUAUAUCCUGUCAAAUCAAUUUGCAUUAUUAGUUUUGAAAAGUCUACAUAGAUAAUUUUGUAUCUUUGUCUUUUCGUUUUCUUGAAUAUCCAAACUAUUAUGUGUAGUAAAAUGGUAUGAUAAAUUAAUUUUUUAUAAAAAAAAUCUAAAUCAAAAUUAAGAAAUUUGCUUUAUAUUUAUUCGUUUUGAAAAAGGUGGUGCAUCCGGAUAUCUCCACUAAGUAGACAUUUAAUAGCACCCUCAUCACUCCCACUUCGUUAAAGAUAUCUCAAGGGAGCAAGAGAGGGCUAGAGUUAAGCCCUUGAAUGUCGUCCCCCAUUUCACCAAAGCUUUUUUCAGACCCUUUGAGCAUUCUAUUGUUUCUUUCCAGACAAAGUCAAUAAAGUUGCAGCAAUGGUAUUGAAGGUGGAAAUUUGCUUUGUUUACCAAUCUUACAAAAUCAUGAUGCAUAUUUAUGAAUAUAUAUUUUUUCCUUGUAAAAGAUAUAGAAUUGAUAAAUGAAACAUUUGUGGUAAUAAAAAAAGAGCAAUACCCGAGGACGAACUCAUGUACACAAGAAUCUAUCAUGCAUAAUUACCCUUCAACCAGUACAUAUAACAAAAAAUAUAUUAAAAACAUCUUUAAAAAUAAGCAGAAAAUAAAAUUUAUAAUUGAAUACUGGAAAGAGUAACACAAGAAUACAUAUAGCUUAAAAUGCAUCCAAAUGAUUUUUUGAAAUAACGACCCACAACGCCACAAACAGACAUGCUAAAUUAAAUUAUGAAGACCAUUGACUUCAAUUUUCCACAUAAGUUCCUUUCCUUGGGGUCUACUUGAUUAAGAAAUAACCUUGUAUUAAACCCAACCAAUAAAAUAGUAUUAAAAACAUAUUUAUUAAAAUGUUAAAAUACCAUUUUAGUCCAUUCAAUUAAAGUUUUUGGCUCCAAUUUUUUUUAGUCAUGCAUGCUACCUUUAAUCAUUCAACUGAUUAUAUACUAAAUAGUCUAUGUAGGGUGCAAUCAAAAAUCAAAAAACAAAAAAUCAAACCAAAAACGUAUCGGAUCCGACCGAAUUUUUAUUAAAAAAGAUCAAUCAAAAUUGAACUAAAUCAAUUAGUUUAUAUAAAAUCGAUUGGUUUGGUUUUAAUUCUUAAUCGACCAUGCAUGCACUUGCACACACAAUAUAAUAUGUGAUAAUUAGUUUAUAUAACCCAACAAUACAAUUUGUAAUGGACGAAGAUACACAUAAAUUAAGAUAAACUGAUCAUAGACAUAGUUAUAUAUAAACUGGGUUUAAAAAUUGAAAUAGAUAGUACUCUAUCGUGAUUCAUCGUAAAUAAAAUGUGAUGAUUUAUAAUUAUACAUAAUAUGUACAUAAUAUGUGUAUCUUUUAUUUCUUUAUUUAUUCACAAAAAUACAAAGAUUGUUUAUGGUAACAUGUUUCGAUUUGUUUGAGAAUUAACUUUAAAAAAUGGAACUAUAUUACAUUUGUUAUUUUUAGCUUUUUAUUAAAAAUACAAAAAUGAAAAACAAGAAAUAAACAAAGUAGUAGUCCAAAUGUUUGGUAAUAUAUAUAUAUGGAAAGUCCAAAUUGAUUCUGAGUACAUAGAGAUAAUCAUACAAUAAAACAUACUAAACUUCAAAGUGACAUAUCAUAUAAACUACUAUAUAUAUUGAUUACACUCUUUUUUUGAAAGGAUAAAUUAAUACACAAAAACUUUAAAAUAGGAUUUAAAUCCAUGUGAUUUCGGAAUCAUUUAUUCAUUUUUUGAAAAACAGGUGAUAGUCCUCAGUCUACGGCAAGCUGCAUCCUCUAACAUAAGGAUUGCACUUUUCCUUUGGUGGCUUACUUCUAGGGAUGCAACGGCUAUAAGGACCGCUACCAUCGCAGAUUGGUUUGUUGCGAAUUGCUGUUCUCGGAGUCAAGUAAACAAUUCCCUUUUCUGCGUUUGGAAACCAUUUAAAAUAAAUCAACAAAAAUAGUUUAUUUUUAAAAACAACCAUUUUCAAUUUAAUGCUUCCUUCCAUGUUCAAUUUUAUCAAAAUUUGUUUCAUAAUAACAAUCAUUUUGAAUGCCACAUAAUAUCAUAAUAUAAAUAGAAGCUCACCGUUGUUUUGGUGCAUCUUCAGCUUCCUUGCUGCAGUCACCUCCGAGGAGAUGAAGAGAACGAAGAAGAAGAAAAAAGCCAGCAAUGAAUAACCACGUCCCUUUCCACUACUCAUUCUUAUUCCUUUCUCACUAUUAUGGAGAGAGAAUUGAAUUUGUUUUGAAGAUGAA
RNAcentral lists this long non-coding RNA (38210 nucleotides) under Cucumis sativus (cucumber). Its description in RNAcentral is "long non-coding RNA (CSAT_LNC002604)". Lineage: Eukaryota; Viridiplantae; Streptophyta; Magnoliopsida; Cucurbitales; Cucurbitaceae. The record is from RNAcentral.